RNAcentral lists this microRNA precursor (58 nucleotides) under Rattus norvegicus (Norway rat). RNAcentral describes it as "Rno-Mir-506-P4_pre stem-loop". The record is from RNAcentral. Lineage: Eukaryota; Metazoa; Chordata; Mammalia; Rodentia; Muridae.
CACUCAGUAAGGCAUUGUUCUUCUAUACUAAUAAAUGAACAGCGCCUUUCUGUGUAGC